CCUACGGGUGGCAGCAGUGGGGGAUAUUGCACAAUGGGGGGAACCCUGAUGCAGCGACGCCGCGUGAGUGAAGAAGCGCCUCGGCGCGUAAAGCCCUGUCAGCAGGGAAGAAAAUGACGGUACCUGAAGAAGAAGCACCGGCUAACGACGUGCCAGCAGCCGCGGUAAUACGUAGGGGGCAAGCGUUAUCCGGAUUUACUGGGUGGAAAGGGGGCGCAGACGGCGGUGGAAGCCAGGAGUGAAAGCCCGGGGCCCAACCCCGGGACUGCUCUUGGAACUGCGUGGCUGGAGUGCAGGAGGGGCAGGCGGAAUUCCUGGUGUAGCGGUGAAAUGCGUAGAUAUCAGGAGGAACACCGGUGGCGAAGGCGGCCUGCUGGACUGCAACUGACGUUGAGGCCCGAAAGCGUGGGGAGCAAACAGGAUUAGAUACCCCGGUAGUC
Molecule: ribosomal RNA, 440 nt
Filed under: uncultured bacterium
Lineage: Bacteria
Description: partial 16S ribosomal RNA
Rfam family: Bacterial small subunit ribosomal RNA
Source: RNAcentral